RNAcentral lists this ribosomal RNA (494 nucleotides) under uncultured bacterium. RNAcentral's name for it is "partial 16S ribosomal RNA". It matches the Rfam family "Bacterial small subunit ribosomal RNA", at positions 28 to 507 of the family's 1533-position model. The record is from RNAcentral.
GACGAACGCUGGCGGCGUGCUUAACACAUGCAAGUCGAACGGAAAGGCCUGCUUUCCCUUGUGGAUUGCGGGUACUCGAGUGGCGAACGGGUGAGUAACACGUGAGUGAUCUGCCCCCAACUUGGGUAUAAGCCUGGGAAACUGGGUCUAAUUCCCGAUAGGACUGCAGGGUGGUGCCUGUGGUGGAAAACGAUUUUCUAGUGGUUGGGGAUGAGCUCGCGGCCUAUCAGCUUGUUGGUGGGGUAAUGGCCUACCAAGGCGGCGACGGGUAGCCGGCCUGAGAGGGUGGACGGCCACAUUGGGACUGAGAUACGGCCCAGACUCCUACGGGAGGCAGCAGUGGGGAAUAUUGCACAAUGGGCGGAAGCCUGAUGCAGCGACGCCGCGUGGGGGAUGACGGCCUUCGGGUUGUAAUCUCCUUUCGACCGCGAGGAAGCCACCUGGUUGGAAGGGUGGUGACGGUAGUGGUAGAAGAAGCACCGGCUAACUACGUG